UCAGGAUGAACGCUAGCGGCAGGCUUAACACAUGCAAGUCGAGGGGCAUCGCGGGUGGCAACACCCGGCGGCGACCGGCGAACGGGUGAGUAACGCGUGAGCAACAUGUCCUCAGUCGGGGGAUAAGCGAGGGAAACUUCGUCUAAUACCCCAUAACACUUUCAGGCGCAUGCCUUUAAGUUGAAAGCUUUUUUUUUGCGACUUUGGUUUGGCUCGCGUGACAUUAGCUAGUCGGUGGGGUAACGGCCCACCGAGGCUACGAUGUCUAGGGGUUCUGAGAGGAAGGCCCCCCACAUUGGGACUGGGACACGGCCCAAACUCCUACGGGAGGCAGCAGUGAGGAAUAUUGGUCAAUGGACGGAAGUCUGAACCAGCCAUGCCGCGUGAAGGAAGACUGCCCUAUGGGUUGUAAACUUCUUUUGCAGCAGAGCAAUAAGGCGUACGCGUACGCCGAUGAGAGUAUGUUGCGAAUAAGCAUCGGCUAACUCCGUGCCAGCAGCCGCGGUAAUACGGAGGAUGCGAGCGUUAUCCGGAUUUAUUGGGUUUAAAGGGUGCGUAGGCUGUUUUGUAAGUCAGCGGUGAAAGACCGGGGCCCAACUCCGGAAGUGCCGUUGAUACUGCAUCGCUAGAGUUCCCCUGCC
Molecule: ribosomal RNA, 641 nt
Filed under: uncultured bacterium
Lineage: Bacteria
Description: bacterial SSU rRNA
Rfam family: Bacterial small subunit ribosomal RNA
Source: RNAcentral